This is a long non-coding RNA of Thrips palmi, 3708 nucleotides long. RefSeq lists it as uncharacterized. The record is from RefSeq and is a predicted model, not a curated record. The transcript has 2 exons. NCBI's taxonomy places the organism in Eukaryota, Metazoa, Arthropoda, Insecta, Thysanoptera, Thripidae.
UACCCCUGUAGACAUUUCUGCCAUCCAUAACUUGAAAUAGGCUUCUUGUUUAUGUUUAUGUCUGUAAACACAUGCUUAAUGUUUGAUGCAUUUUGAUUUUAAAAACACAAAAUCAAGGUAAAAGUAAUAAUAGAUGUAACACCUGCUGUUGAUAUCAAACGUUGAAUGUUGUACAAGAACCAAAAGUUAGAAGUGCGACAGUUUUAGUUCUAGUAUUAGGUUUGACACUAAAAUUGUCUAUUUACCUGUAGUUGCGCGGCCAAGCGUAGUUUUCAGUUAGAGAUAUCGGCAACCCACAUCAUGCUUGCUGUGUGAUCUGUUGGUGCUGUCUCAAAUAUUCAUUUAAGUUCAGUGAUAUACUCUGACUUAACCUAUGUCACUUAACCUGACGGUUAGACAAAACUCAAUGAAAACUCUGUAAUAUCAUUUACCGUUAUUACCGUAACCGUUAUUUAUUUCAUAACUUCAGUUUUAUUUACUGCCCUUUUCAGUUACUCUCUUGUGUUGAUGAAAAACUGCACAUCAUAUUUCUGAUUCAGCUGGUUUAUGUUAUGAAAUGGUACUAAUGUCAUUCCGCUUAGUUGCCCAGUUUUCUUAGACAGCUCUUACAUAAAAACGCUCGACCUCAGGCAAAAGAUAGUGCUUAUAGACGUCUUUUAAAUGUUGGAGAUCUGUCUUCCCUCUACACAACUUGUUUAAAAGCUGUCGUGGGUUGACACUUCAGUACAUGAUUGUUUUUUUAACAUCUAGAAUCAUUCUGUUUUAAACUAGUCUGAGUUUGUAGUAAUUUUAAUCAUUUGUUUGCAAUUUUAGGCCUCUAAGAUACUUUGCAGUUUUUGUGUUUCUCAUGUUUGAUGUUUAUAGUUGUGUGUUACACAUCAACACAUGGUCACUCCUGACCACAGAUGUUUUCCAGGAGUGUGGCUUCCAUCCAAACAUUCAUCUCAGUAGAUGUGAUAUCUGCAACUUAAGAGUGCCUUAUGGUGUCAAAGAUACUUACUCCAUAAAAUAGUGCAUAGUCGAGAACAACCAAGUGAAAUCUGUGAUUAUUAUGUUCAACAGCCAGUUCUGUUUUGAAAAAAGACUCAGCUUUCUUGUUUUUUACAAGAAGUAAUCUCAAGACAUAAGUUGUGUCUUCCAAAUAAUAAGUGAAGUGGAGUGAAGUGAAACGAAGUAAUGUUAUUCAAACUGACGUGAAGUGCCUUGAAGUGAAGUGAAGUGAUGUAGUGAUGCGAGGUGAAGUGAAGUGAAGUGAAGUGCCUCAAGCGGCAAAAAUGGAUUACCUUAUCACCACGUCAAAUGUCACCACCAACCGUCUCAAAGUGAGUAUUGAAGAUGUCUGCAGUGGCUGGUUCAUCAGUUGCUGUCUGGUGAGUCCCUUACUGUUAGAAAACUAAAGAGACUCAGUUUUUGCUGUUCUGCCUGAUUUCUGUAAAUGUUUAUUAUAUCAUUUCAAUGCAGAUAGAACUAUUCAUCAAUAUCAAUUUAUUUAUUAAUAUGUUUUAAGUUUUUAGAAAAAUUCUUCUUGUAAUUAAUGAAAAUAUUCAAAAAAAGUCUCUUUAGCUUUCAAACACAUCUUUUGAUUUCCCAACAUGCUACGAAUAACAACUCAUGAAGUGUUCAUACAAGUGUAGUGUAGGGUACUAUAAAUGAGAAGGAUGGGUAAAGGACGAUAGUGAGUAGAGGUUGACUGGUUUAUUGGAGAGAACCGCACAGAACGAGACCAGGCUGCAGACUGUUGGCCGGCUCUGAGGCACGAUCCAACUUAUAGUGUGGGCAACAGUGACACAUUGCUAGGUGGGUGUGUUCGUUCAGAAAGGGAAGCUAUUGUAGGACCUAGGGGAGGGAAGCAUGCCAGAGUGAGGAAGAAGACAAGAAAUAAAAUUACUGACUGACACUUUGUUAGCUCUGCUUUAGCUUGUCAUAUCUCCGUACCAGCAUAGAAAAACUAAAUUAAAAAAAAACCUAGUUACCGGGAGUGUAAUGCCUUAGAGGCCUGUCAAUAAUUAGAUAGCUCAUCAGGAACAAAGUUUCAUAGUUCUCUCAAAAGUUUCUCACAAAAAGGUUUUUUUUUUCUUGUGAAAAUAUUUUUUUGUAGUGUUAAGAUGUUUCUGACCUCUUCUCUUAACAUUAAUUUGUAAUUUAUUUGUAUUAACUGAACAGCUGCAUGUGUGGUGGUGGUUCCUCGUUUGUUGGUCCAUUGUUCAUUCCUUCAAACUCAGUUUUGUGUGUAAGACAGCCUAUCAGGCGUACAAGCCGGGGGUUAAGUUCAAGCACAGAUUUUGCCCAUUCCGUACGUGCCAACCUCAGACCCACACAUAUUAGUUUUAGACAAUCAAUCAAACUUGCUAGAAAAUUUGAGUUGUUUUUUUCUUCUUGUAACUAAUGUUAAACCAAUAGUUCUUUUGAGAAAUAACUAAAGUAUGCCAUAAAAUCUGGUAUUCUAACAACAUUUUCACCUUACAGCAAGGCAAAGAUGCAAGUCUAUUUUGAAUAAAUUUUCAGUAUUUGCUUAAAUGUAGGUAGUUUUUAAACCAAUUAAUUUUUGCAAGGGCCCAAGCAACCCUUUUUAUGUGUCCCUCUCCCCUGCUUCACAAACCUGUACAGACAGGCAUCAAGAGCAACAACUUGAUCCUGCACCCAAAUUUCCCAUGCUUUCUUCUCUUUAUUUUCGCUUUAAGUGUGAGCAACGGAAACGGUUUCCUAGUUAUACAUUUUUCUUUUUUAUGGAAGGAGGGAGCUUUUUUGUUUUUCUAUGUCAUGGGAAGAGUGUAAUUUGAUUGAAGCCGAUCUUACUCAUGUAUUUUACAAAUUUAUUAUUUUGGAUGUAUCAUGAGGAUAAGUAGCCUGGUAAAAAUGAGACAGUUAACCCAUGGUUCACCUGAUAGAGUUAGGACUAUUCAGAGGCAACUCUACAUUUGCAUGUUUUUUUUUUUUCAGGAUAGAUAGAUCUUUUUCAAUGUAGGUGCCACUUUUGGUUUUGCAUGCAUUGUCUUCUCCCUGUAUGUUUGCACUUGUUUUCUGUUUUGUUUUAUUCUUUAUUUUGUUCAUGUCAGGAUUUGUGUUUCCUUGGGAUGUUGGGCAUAUUAUUUGUGUGGAAUGGGUUGUAUGCAAUCCAUCCUUACUUCAAGUGAUAAUCUAUCUGUGCAACUUAUUUAAGUGAAUUCCUCUUUAUAAAAUUUUGGUGUAACCCAUCGUAAUGUUUACUCUUUUGCAUUGUGUUUGGUAAGAGAUGAGUCAUAUUGCGGUAACUUUUCAUUUACUGUUUUGGCUUUCAUUUUCAUAAGUUACUAUUAAGUUAUUUUCUUUGUCUUUCGCAUCUUAUCCAUUUGUGGGUUGCCUUGCCAAAACCUCGCUAUUAUUUCAAAGAAGUUAAAAGUUUUCAUUAAGUUACACAAAAAAGUUGGAACUUCUUGUAACAAUCUGAAACAAUGAAAUUCUAUGAAAUUAAAUUGUUUUUUUUUUUUUUAAAGUUCCGGAGUUAAGAAAACAACAGUCAGAGGUUUUCUUUUUCACCAAUUUUUUAAAGUACUUAUUUUACCACACAUCUGUGGACAUCUUCUUGGAAAUGGGUUUUGAUGACAGGUUUCUUUUUGUAAGUUUGUACUUACAUUUCAUGUGAUCUUUUUUUGUUACCUUGCCAUAGGUGCAAAUUAUGUAUAUUUCCAAAUGAGAGAAGAAAUAAAAGUGGAGGUGGAAUUCUUAUGA